RNAcentral lists this ribosomal RNA (491 nucleotides) under uncultured bacterium. RNAcentral's name for it is "partial 16S ribosomal RNA". It matches the Rfam family "Bacterial small subunit ribosomal RNA", at positions 29 to 507 of the family's 1533-position model. The record is from RNAcentral.
GUGCACGCUGGCGGUAGGCCUAACACAUGCAAGUCGAACGGCAGCACAGUAAGAGCUUGCUCUUACGGGUGGCGAGUGGCGGACGGGUGAGGAAUACAUCGGAAUCUACUUUUUCGUGGGGGAUAACGUAGGGAAACUUACGCUAAUACCGCAUACGACCUACGGGUGAAAGCAGGGGAUCUUCGGACCUUGCGCGAUUGAAUGAGCCGAUGUCGGAUUAGCUAGUUGGCGGGGUAAAGGCCCACCAAGGCGACGAUCCGUAGCUGGUCUGAGAGGAUGAUCAGCCACACUGGAACUGAGACACGGUCCAGACUCCUACGGGAGGCAGCAGUGGGGAAUAUUGGACAAUGGGCGCAAGCCUGAUCCAGCCAUACCGCGUGGGUGAAGAAGGCCUUCGGGUUGUAAAGCCCUUUUGUUGGGAAAGAAAAGCAGCAGGUUAAUACCCCGCUGUUCUGACGGUACCCAAAGAAUAAGCACCGGCUAGCUUCGUG